UUAGCAGUCGAGCGAGUUCUCGUUGAUGAUCGGUGCUUGCACCGAGAUUCUACAUGGAACGAGUGGCGGACGGGUGAGUAACACGUGGGUAACCUGCCCUUAAGUGGGGGAUAACAUUUGGAAACAGAUGCUAAUACCGCAUAGAUCCAAGAACCGCAUGGUUCUUGGCUGAAAGAUGGCGUAAGCUAUCGCUUUUGGAUGGACCCGCGGCGUAUUAGCUAGUUGGUGAGGUAAUGGCUCACCAAGGCGAUGAUACGUAGCCGAACUGAGAGGUUGAUCGGCCACAUUGGGACUGAGACACGGCCCAAACUCCUACGGGAGGCAGCAGUAGGGAAUCUUCCACAAUGGACGCAAGUCUGAUGGAGCAACGCCGCGUGAGUGAAGAAGGCUUUCGGGUCGUAAAACUCUGUUGUUGGAGAAGAAUGGUCGGCAGAGUAACUGUUGUCGGCGUGACGGUAUCCAACCAGAAAGCCACGGCUAACUACGUGCCAGCAGCCGCGGUAAUACGUAGGUGGCAAGCGUUAUCCGGAUUUAUUGGGCGUAAAGCGAGCGCAGGCGGUUUUAUUAAGUCUGAUGUGAAAGCCGCUCAGUCAUAU
RNAcentral lists this ribosomal RNA (596 nucleotides) under Lacticaseibacillus casei. RNAcentral describes it as "bacterial SSU rRNA". It matches the Rfam family "Bacterial small subunit ribosomal RNA", at positions 54 to 613 of the family's 1533-position model. The record is from RNAcentral. Lineage: Bacteria; Bacillati; Bacillota; Bacilli; Lactobacillales; Lactobacillaceae.